AUCAACUUCAAAGGUAAGGGGGUUAGUGAUUAUCAUAAUCAUGUGUAAUUGCAUAUUCUCAUGUUAUAUGAAAAUGGAUUGAUGAACAAUUCAUGUUAAAUUCGUGCUCUUGCUGUGAUGUUAUGUUUGUAUGCAUGAAUUGAUGUUAGUUGUAUGAUUGUUGGUGAAAUUACAUGUUCAUAUAUGCAAAAAUGAUAAGUUAUGAAUAUUGUGCUCAAUUGGUGAAUUUCUUCUAAGUUGUUGUUGAUUUGAGAUGUGAGUCUUGUUCAAAUGAUGUUAUGAAUGUUAUUUGAUAUUAUGAUUGAUGAAUAAUUGCUUGGGUUUGCAUAUUCAUGGAUUGAUGAUGAGGAUUUGAAUUGUGUUGGUGUUUUGGUGAAAAUGAUGAGUUAGCUCAAAUGUCAAGUGUUUUCAAGUUUGAUCGUGUCUUUGUGAGUCUUUUUAGUCAUAUUGACCUAUAAACAUGUUCUGGAAACACAUUUGGGCAUUGAGGGAUCAAAAUUUGGGUUUUGGGGUAAAACAUGGUUCAAACCCGUGAAAAAUUAUGCAGAAAUGAUGACUGUUCGCUUAAGCGAAUCGGAAGCGAGCUGUAAGCGAACAGCUGCUGUAAGUAUUUCGCUUAAGCGAAGAACCGUUCGCUUAAGCGAAAUGCCUUUUGACAGCAUUUCUAAUUUCGCGUUCUUGUGUCUUUUUCAUACGUUUCUGUUUUGAAUUGGACUUUGGUGUAAACAUGAAAGUUGUAGAUAACUUUGUUAGCUUUCUAAUGGCUUUGGUUUGACGUCCAAAUGAUUUUUAGAACUUGAGUUAUGAUUAAAUUACUACACAUGGGUCAUGUGGAUUUUUGUGAAAACUUAUCAUAACUUUUUCUUUGAGCUGUGGAACUUUUCCAAACUUGAUAUUGUGUUUAAUGAAGUACUUAGAGUGAAUAAUUGAGUAUGCAUUUAUGUAUUUGGAAAUGUGAAUUUGUUGAUGGUUUGAGAUAUAAUUUUGAGUGGAAAGGGUUCCAAACCCAUAACUUUUUCUACAAACAUGUGAAGGUUCGUUUAAAGGUUCGCUUAAGCGACCUGGUAAGCGAACAUUCAUAGUCUUUUCUGGGUUCAGUUCGCUUAAGCGAACUGUGAGCGAGCAAGUAAGCGAACAAAGUGAGUUGCUACUGUAACUUGUUCGCUUAAGCGAACCAGGUGGUCGCUUAAGCGAACAACUCCAGUUUCAGCCACUUUGAUCUUUUGUUCCGGGUCUUUGGGGGCCAAUCCGAGUUUUCUUAAAUGAUGUCUUAAACAUGUUUAACCACUGUUAAUCCUCCAAAACCUAUUGGAACAAUGAUUGCUUGCAUGUACUUGUAAUUUUUGAAAUGAGUCUUAACUUGUGAAAUUUUGAGAAUUCCAAACUUUGUCGAAAACAAAUUUUGUAAUCUAAUAAGGCUUGCAAGUGAACCUACAGCUCAUAUAGACUUAGGUGAUGCUUGCAAGGGUGGUCAAUAUCUUAAUCAAAGUAAAAAUGAUAUUUCGGGUGGGAAGUGAAAGGUUGUGAAAAUGAGAUUUUUCUAUGAACUUAAGUUGUGCUUGGGUUAAUGUUGAUGAUCCGAAGACGACUUAAUUUCAUGUAUACAUUGUCAGUUAAGAUUGAUUAAUUGUUUUAACUUGUCUAUGACUGUUUCGUUUCAAGUUGGUACGGUGAAGUGUUCAUAUGGUUAAGUGAAAUUGUGUGAAUGAUAAUGUUGAAUGACAUUGUUGAUUAUUGAUAAUCAUGUUUAUGUAUGAUGAAUUGUAGAUGUUGAAUAUAAUAUUUAUCAUGUGAUGUUGUUUUCCCUCUUACUUGGAAUAUGAGAAUGCUCGAAUUGGUGAACUAUAUGUGAUAGUUGAUGUUGAAUAUCAUUGUGGAUUAUUGAUGAUCAUGUUGAUGUGAUGAUGGUGAAUACUAUGAUUAUUUGUGUAUGGGCAUGUUUUCUUGAUAAUGCAAUGUUGUGGAGAUAAUCAAUAUAAUUGGGUGUUGUCCUAUAUAUUGAGGUUGAGAUUGUGAAUUGUUGUCGCAUUAUCGAGUCCUUAUACAUAUCCAUGCAUCAUAGUCGUUGUUGCUGUAAUAAAAGGGAUGACUCUUUUACUUCGAGAUUAUUGUAAGGCAGGUGUGAGCCCUUACAUACGAUGUGCAAGUGGCAUCGAAAGGUGACGACCUUGUUGAGAUUUGGUACCACAUGCAUUUAUGUGUCAAUAAGUGCAUAUCAUAACAUGAAUCUUAUGUGAAAUAUAUGAUUGGUGAUGAAAUGAGAUGAAUGACUAUUCAUGAAUAUUUGUGAUUGGUGAUUGUGAAUGAAUAUUUGUGAAUUGAUAUUUGUUCCUGAUACAUGUGAUUGGCGAUUGUUCAUGAAAUAUGAUUAAUGAUUGUUCAUGGCUUAUGAUUGGUGACUGUUCAUGAUGUAUAUGAUUGGUGAUUGUGUAUGAAUAACUGUGAAUUGAUAUUUGUUCAUGACACAUGUGAUUGGUGAUUAUUGAUGUGAGAUAUUGGGGUUUGAUGUAAGUAUUGAUGUGGGAAUAUUAUUAUUGAUCAAGUGCAUGAUGUUUAAAUUGAAAUAUUCAUGUUAUCUGUUAUUUGGAUUAUGAUAAUGUAAUACUUACCCCCAGUGGAUCUGUUAUGGACCGCCUACUUGCCUGUAUGGGUGAGUAGACGUUGUGCAGGUUUAGUUGUUUGGUGAGUUCUUGUGCUUGGUGGAUAUCUGAAGCCUUUUCCGAUAUCGGUGUUUAGAUGUUUAGUCGGCUCUGAUCUAGGCUUGUUGUGUCGGUCUAGAUUAGGUUGUUUAUAUUUUCCUUUGGAUUAUUGUUUUGUUGAUGACUACCCGUAUGUUUGGGUUUUGAGAUUUAUCUUUGGGAUAUGAUUUAUUUGCUCAUGGCAUGUAUAUAUUUGAUCACUCUGAUUUAUAUUCCGCUGCGACUGUUGAGGUUUAUAUACAUGUCUAUCGGUUUUUGAAAUUUUGAAUAAGACGUAAUCUCUAUUUCUUGAAUAAAUGUAUUAUUCGCAUGUUUAAUUGCUUUAAUAGAAAUAGGAGUGUUACAUAUA
This 3048-nucleotide long non-coding RNA is filed under the name Medicago truncatula (barrel medic). Its description in RNAcentral is "long non-coding RNA (MTRU_LNC003741)". Lineage: Eukaryota; Viridiplantae; Streptophyta; Magnoliopsida; Fabales; Fabaceae. The record is from RNAcentral.